Molecule: ribosomal RNA, 182 nt
Filed under: Tetradium ruticarpum
Lineage: Eukaryota; Viridiplantae; Streptophyta; Magnoliopsida; Sapindales; Rutaceae
Description: 5.8S ribosomal RNA
Rfam family: 5.8S ribosomal RNA (bases 7-162)
About the family: 5.8S ribosomal RNA (5.8S rRNA) is a component of the large subunit of the eukaryotic ribosome. It is transcribed by RNA polymerase I as part of the 45S precursor that also contains 18S and 28S rRNA. Functionally, it is thought that 5.8S rRNA may be involved in ribosome translocation.
Source: RNAcentral
UAUAACGACUCUCGGCAACGGAUAUCUCGGCUCUCGCAUCGAUGAAGAACGUAGCGAAAUGCGAUACUUGGUGUGAAUUGCAGAAUCCCGUGAACCAUCGAGUCUUUGAACGCAAGUUGCGCCCCAAGCCUUUAGGCCGAGGGCACGUCUGCCUGGGUGUCACGCAUCGUUGCCCCACCCCC